RNAcentral lists this long non-coding RNA (509 nucleotides) under Cucumis sativus (cucumber). Its description in RNAcentral is "long non-coding RNA (CSAT_LNC002914)". The record is from RNAcentral. Lineage: Eukaryota; Viridiplantae; Streptophyta; Magnoliopsida; Cucurbitales; Cucurbitaceae.
UCCAAUUAUGAACUUGCCCCUCGUAUGCCACCACCAUCCUCUACUCCGUCACAAAAAUCAUUUGUUGGGGGUAGGAAUUCAUUGACAGAUUGGAACGAACAUGAAACAGUUGUACUUCUAGAUGCCUGGGGCGAACGGUUUCUCCAGCAUGGAAGGAAAAGUCUCCGAUCCGAGGAAUGGCAAGAGGUUGCUGAGAAGGUAUCGGAGGUCUCUAAGAUUGACAGGACUGACACACAGUGUCGUAACCGUCUAGAUACCUUGAAGAAGAAGUAUAAAAAGGAAAAGUCGAAAUCAACAGAAAUGGGAGGACCUACAAGCAAGUGGGUUUACUUCAAGAAGAUGGACAUGUUAAUGUCUUCACCUCCAAACCAAGGUGGCCUAUCAUGUGGGUUAGAUUCAGGGGAGUAUGUGUUCAUGAACCCUAGAGCUUAUCUGAAUCGUGCAAACGGGUUGGAUGAGAUGAGAGAUAGCCCUGAUAACUCAGAAUCUGAUGAUUGCGAGGAUGACGA